Molecule: ribosomal RNA, 253 nt
Filed under: uncultured bacterium
Lineage: Bacteria
Description: partial 16S ribosomal RNA
Rfam family: Bacterial small subunit ribosomal RNA
Source: RNAcentral
GACGUAGGAUGCGAGCGUUGUCCGGAUUUAUUGGGCGUAAAGGGUUCGUAGGCGGUUUGUUAAGUCUGGUGUUAAAGAUCGGGGCUCAACCCUGGGACUGCACUGGAUACUGGCAGACUGGAGUGCGGUAGAGGUUAGUGGAAUUCCUGGUGUAGCGGUGAAAUGCGUAGAUAUCAGGAAGAACACCAGUGGCGUAGGCGACUAACUGGGCCGUAACUGACGCUGAUGAACGAAAGCCAGGGGAGCAAAUGGG